AUCAAAAAUGUUCUCAUUUGCUUUCUUGUAUGUUAGUCUUUAGCUCAAAUAGGUAGAGCACUUGGGGAUUCCCUAAGAGAUGGUGGUUCGAAUCCAUCAAGAUCCGUUGAUUUUUUU
Molecule: long non-coding RNA, 117 nt
Organism: Telopea speciosissima
Lineage: Eukaryota; Viridiplantae; Streptophyta; Magnoliopsida; Proteales; Proteaceae
Exons: 2
Source: RefSeq, a predicted model, not a curated record